GUCCGCGGCGCAUUAGCUAGUUGGUGACGUAACGGCGCACCAAGGCAACGAUGCGCAGCCGACCUGAGAGGGUGAUCGGCCACACUGGGACUGAGACGCGGCCCAGACUCCUACGGGAGGCAGCAGUAGGGAAUCUUCCGCAAUGGACGAAAGGCUGACGGAGCAACGCCGCGUGCGUGAUGAAGGUUUUCGGAUCGUAAAACUCUGUUGUCAGGGAAGAACAAGUACGGGCGUAACUGUCCGUACCUUUACGGUACCUGACCAGAAAGCCACGGCUAACUGCGUGCCAGCAGCCGCGGUAAUACGUAGGUGGCAAGCGUUGUCCGGAAUUAUUGCGCGUAACCCGCGCGCAGGCGGUCUUUUAAGUCUGAUGUGAACGCCCAUGGCUCAACCGUGGAAGGUCAUUGGAAACUGGAAGACUUGAGUGCAGAAGAGAAGAGCGGAAUUCCACGUGUAGCGGUGAAAUGCGUAGAGAUGUGGAGGAACAUCAGUGGCGAAGGCGGCUCUUUGGUCUGUAGCUGACGCUGAGGCGCGAAAGCGUGGGGAGCAAACAGGAUUAGAUACCCUGGUAGUCCACGCCGUAAACGAUGAGUGCUAAGUGUUGGGGGGUUGCCGCCCCUCAGUGCUGCAGCUAACGCAUUAAGCACUCCGCCUGGGGAGUACGUCCGCACGGCUUAAACUCAAAGA
RNAcentral lists this ribosomal RNA (687 nucleotides) under uncultured bacterium. Its description in RNAcentral is "bacterial SSU rRNA". It matches the Rfam family "Bacterial small subunit ribosomal RNA", at positions 229 to 907 of the family's 1533-position model. The record is from RNAcentral.